This 336-nucleotide ribosomal RNA is filed under the name uncultured soil bacterium. RNAcentral describes it as "bacterial SSU rRNA". It matches the Rfam family "Bacterial small subunit ribosomal RNA", at positions 26 to 364 of the family's 1533-position model. The record is from RNAcentral.
AGAUUGAACGCUAGCGGGAUGCUUUACGACAUGCAAGUCGAACGGCAGCGCGGACUUCGGUCUGGCGGCGAGUGGCGAACGGGUGAGUAAUAUAUCGGAACGUGCCCAGUAGCGGGGGAUAACUACGCGAAAGCGUGGCUAAUACCGCAUACGCCCUACGGGGGAAAGGGGGGGAUCGCAAGACCUCUCACUAUUGGAGCGGCCGAUAUCAGAUUAGCUAGUUGGUGAGGUAAAGGCUCACCAAGGCGACGAUCUGUAGCUGGUUUGAGAGGACGACCAGCCACACUGGGACUGAGACACGGCCCAGACUCCUACGGGAGCAGCAGGUGGGAAUUU